UAUAAAAGUUUGAUUUCUGCUCACUAGGUGGUGACAAUAUGAAAUAUUUCUUCAACAAAUUUUAUGUUCUAUGGCUCACAUCAAAUUUGGCGGCUCCACAAAGAAAUUUACUAUUGUUCAUUUUGAAUUUCCAGAAGUUGUUUUUUUUUUGUUUCCAACGAUUCUUGAGAAAUUCAUAUUUGUGUUUAAAACAAACAUUUUAAGUAAAUAUUCAGUAUUUUCAUCAGUAGAAACUGGUCAACAUUUUUCAACUAUUUUUGGUGAACAAUGGAAAAUAGUAAACCCUCUCUGCCCUCUUCUCGAUGAAAAUCUCUUUUCAUCGAGAAGUAAACUUCAUCGUGCAGAUUUUCAAAAUCUCUUAAUCAGUUCACAGACCAGUUGGAAGAGAAAAUAAUUAAAUGAUGAUACAAAAUGAAAUUAAUGAAGGCUAUGGCGAAUGAUCUAAUAGUACCCUCGAGGGGCAAAGACCUGGCUUGGAAUGACAAUGAGAGAGAAGAGACUGACUAAAUUGUGUUAAAUGAACCGUCCACUAAAAAUUCUGGAAAAAUCGGGAUUGGAUUGAAACAAGUUUUUCUCUAAACCAGGACAAAAAUCAGUGUGAGACAUUAAAUUACUGCUAUAAUCAUACAAGGUGAGUGAUCGAAAAGCUUCGAUACAGCUCGAUUACUCGAAAAUGUGAAAGAUCGGAGAGAAAUCAAAGUACCCACCAAGGUUUUCUGAUUUUUAUGGCUAUCCAAUGGUGAUUUUGGUGUUUUAAUGUGAAGAACGUUCCUGCGUCAGUUCGUCAUGAAAACAGUUGCAUCGCUGCCACCAUCAUCAUAAUAUGAUAAAGAUAACCAAAUAAAGGCAAUUUACAGGUAGCCUCUGACAUCGACCGGGAAUUUCCAUUACUGGAAAAUCCAUAAGGUUGGGAAUCUUCUGGAAUUUUACGGACUAAUCACCAACUCAAAUUGAAGUGAUGAAAUUGGGUUUUUGAUUUCAUGAAAGUUCCUAUUAGUUCCACAUGAGGUCAUUACAUUGAGGAUUAUAAAUAAUUACUGACAUCCUUACGGAUUUCUAGGUAGAUACGAAGGUUUACAUAAAAACCCUAUAAAUUUGGAAAUAGGAGCUAUUCUUUGGAGGCUUUUGAAAAGAUUCUUGCCGGAAAAAUUGAAAAACUUCAAAUUUCCAUUUUUUGAUGCACAAUCAAUGAUUUUAGGAAAUGAACGACAUGAAUAAAGCAUUGGAAGGUUUUUUCGAAUAUCCCGAUUGCUUUGAUUUAUAAUCGAUAAAAGCUACACGAAUAUAUAUUUUUGUAAACAAAUUAAUUGUUCAUGAUAUGAUUAAUUUUUAUUGGAAUCUGAUUAGUAACGCAAAUGAUUUUCAGAAAAAAUCAUUUUGAAAUAAAAAUCUACAUUGCUUGAAAUCGCAUUCAUUAACUAACUAUUCAUUUGUCGCAGAAAAUAUAAAUAAUGAUGAACUAUUUUUCAUUCCUAUAUUAAACCAUUUUUCAGAUGAAACUGCUCUUCCGUAUUCUAAAAGAAUGUUUCUUGGAAAAUUCUGUAUUU
Molecule: long non-coding RNA, 1547 nt
Filed under: Leptinotarsa decemlineata (Colorado potato beetle)
Lineage: Eukaryota; Metazoa; Arthropoda; Insecta; Coleoptera; Chrysomelidae
Description: uncharacterized LOC111504591, transcript variant X1
Source: RNAcentral